CUAUCAUAGAUUUUCAUUGGAUCUGAUGGUGUACAAACAACUUCACCAAUUGGUUCGUACUCCCAAAGAAAAAAGGAAAAUCCCAUCAGCCCCAACCCCACUAAUUACUCUCCCGCAAUCCCCUCGUCCUCUCGCAUCGCACGCGCCUUCCCCGAGCUUGCCGUCAACUGCGUCGUCCGGAGCUUGCCGUCAACCGCGUCGCUGUGACCACUCUGAUUGCGUCACACAUCGGCUGCUUCCUCCUCGUCUUCGAGCACACAACCACCCCACCGUACAGAUCCGGUACAUGCCCCUCCAUACUCCAUCUUUCUCUCCACCGAUGCGACCUCGGGGUUCCUCUCCACCGACGUGAACCCCGGACUGCCCUCGGGGCACAUCUCAGGUGCGCCAUCCCGGCAUUAGAGGGUCGAGCCCCCCAUCUCUUUGGUGGUUGGCGCUUGCGCAGGUUCGAGUUGGCUGAAUCGGCUGCACGAGUAGCACCGGCCGGACGUAGAACCUGCGUCGAUCGCCCUCAAUUUUUAGGGGACAAAUCUCAGGAUGGAAGCAGACAUCAUACUGUAUCUGUAUUCGUAGUGGAGGCUAUGUUUGGUGGUAUGCGUCAGCUGAAGCGUAGUUCACGAUAGCACCUGCUGAACAUCAUCGGAGCUACAAUAGGGGAGAGGGUGAUGACAGCCAGAAAAAGCUAGGAGAGACGUUGCUUGAACUGGUUCAGGCUCACUCUGAAUUGUGAUUGUAAUUUUCAUUUCCUUGGAAACAAUAUCACAUAUAAAAGUAGCAUUUUUAUGUUUGUCAGA
Molecule: long non-coding RNA, 794 nt
Organism: Triticum aestivum (bread wheat)
Lineage: Eukaryota; Viridiplantae; Streptophyta; Magnoliopsida; Poales; Poaceae
Exons: 2
Source: RefSeq, a predicted model, not a curated record